This 90-nucleotide transfer RNA is filed under the name Parcubacteria group bacterium CG2_30_44_18. RNAcentral's name for it is "tRNA-Ser". It matches the Rfam family "tRNA". From Rfam's summary of the family: Transfer RNA (tRNA) molecules are approximately 80 nucleotides in length. RNAcentral also lists the same sequence under 4 other names. The record is from RNAcentral.
GGAGAGGUGCCUGAGUGGUUGAAAGGAGCAUCCUGCUAAGAUGUUGAGCCCUCACGGGCUCCGAGGGUUCGAAUCCCUCCCUCUCCGCCU